AUGCCAUAAUCAUAUGAGAAUGAAGAUGUUUCAGUUGAGGAAGAGUUUUUCCACUGUAAUGAUAUUUUGCAUUGGCAGCUCAUGCCUCAGUGCUCUGGGAGUGUUUAUAGUCCUGUGAACGAUUUUAACACACAAGAUCUGUCCACUCGAAAACAGAAGCCAAUAUGAUUCUCUUCAUCUGGGCAAUUUACUGCAUCCAAGGCUCUUUGGGGCAGGUCAUUGUGACUCAACCUGAGUUUAAAUCAGUUCAGCUUGGUCAAACAGUCUCUAUUGAUUGUAAGGUCAAUACUGUAGUUUAUAGGUAUCCUGAGGGUUCAGUAUCCAAAGAUUACUACAUCUUCUGGUACAUUCAGAAGGCAGAGGAACCCCCUAAACUACUUGUAUAUUACACAACAAUGAAGCCCUCGAGUGCUCCAUCUAGAAUGAGCGGUGGAGGCAGUUUUCACUCUGGAGGAAAUGGUCUUGAUUUCACUCUGACCAUCAGUGAUGCCCAGCUUGAAGAUGCAGGAGAUUAUUACUGUCAUAGUCGACAUAAGAUAAGUGACAAAUGGGUGUUCACACAGUGAAAAAAUGCUGCACAAAAACAUCCCCUGGUCAGAUAACCGACAAUGUUGUUAUGCUUUCUUGUUUAAUCUAAUUUCUUCCAACACAGAUCUGCCCUAAUAGUAUUAAUCAAUUAAUUUCUUGCUGUUCCUGUUACAUUUUUUUCAGAUAAUUAAAUUGUAUUCUAUGAUAUUUUUCAUAUUUAAUACAGUGCUUCACAUACAGAAAAUCAUAUAUACCUCUAUAGAUACAUUUGUUCCUUAUCCUUAUAUAAGAUAAAACUCCAUUGUGUCACACAAAGUAGAAGCAGAAAUGCAUAUUCUUUAGAAAAAAAAAAAAUCUAAUAUUAAAUAGUUGUCUAAAUCUAUUCAUUGAUUCUCACAUUCAUAACAGCAAGUACAUCAUAUAUAAACUUUUAAACUGUUAUGUUUCAAACUUUAUAAAAUAUUUAUAUUUUCUAUUUAUAUCUUGUCUUAACAUGAGUAAAUAUUUGUAUAAACACACUCUAAAAAGUAAUUCAGAGGACCUGUUGCCACAACUUAAAUAAAUGCAUAUGGUUAAAAGUUAAAAAUUAUAUUUAUUGAUUUAAUUAAACCUUUUAAACUGCAAAAAUUAUUUUGCAGAGUUCUGCUCAAGCAAUAAUGUUGAUCAUUACAUUAAAUUAUUAUUGUGUGUAACAAACUCAAAUUAAAAUAAACAAUAUAAAUUGUCUUGAAAACAUUGGGAAUUGGGCAGUGCAUUUCUAAUUCCCAGCAUGCUUUGCAUAGGACUGGGAAAGGAUAAUAAAUGUUGAAAUUAAGUGUUAU
Megalobrama amblycephala (Wuchang bream) is the source of this 1349-nucleotide non-coding RNA. Lineage: Eukaryota; Metazoa; Chordata; Actinopteri; Cypriniformes; Xenocyprididae. The record is from the annotation of a RefSeq genome assembly.